CACGUUGUCCAUAGCUUUGGGGAAGGUGGCAUCUCCGCUGCGCACCGGCACUCCUAGGAUGAGGAGCAGGGCGGUGGUGGCAGAGGAGACGACCCAGCAGGCGGGGUGGUACAUCUU
Molecule: long non-coding RNA, 117 nt
Organism: Myotis davidii
Lineage: Eukaryota; Metazoa; Chordata; Mammalia; Chiroptera; Vespertilionidae
Exons: 3
Source: RefSeq, a predicted model, not a curated record